Molecule: ribosomal RNA, 541 nt
Filed under: fungal sp.
Lineage: Eukaryota; Fungi
Description: eukaryotic LSU rRNA
Rfam family: 5.8S ribosomal RNA (bases 126-283)
Source: RNAcentral
CGCUGGCGAACCUGCGGAUAUGCAUAUCGAUAAGCGGAGGAAGCUUCCGUGGGUGAACGUGCGGAUCUACAUAUCAAUAAGCGGAGUAAUUCUCCAUCGGCGAACUGGAAAAACUUAAAAAUAAAAACGCUAAACAACGCACCCCUUGGGUUCUGGAAUUGCAUAAAGAACGCACCAAAAUGCAAUAAGUCGGGUGAAUUGGAGAAUUCAGUGAAUCAUCGAAUCUUUGAACGCACAUUGCGCCCCCUUGGAAUUCCAUGGGGCAUGCUUGUUUCGAGCGUCAUUUGUACCCUUCAAGCGUUUGCUUGGUUGUUGGGUGUUUUGUCCUCUCCAUUGGUGUUUGGCACUCGCCUUUACAACAAUUGGCAGCCAGGUGUUUUUGGAUAUUGAAAGCGCAGCACAAGUUGGCGAUUUCUGACCCUAGUAACCACUUGCCCUCCACCAGGUCUUUUUUAACUUUUUGACCUUCGGAUUCAGGUAGGGAAUACCCCGCUUGAACUUUAAGCAUUAUCAAUUAAGCCGGAAGGAAACUUUCCGCUUA